RNAcentral lists this non-coding RNA (183 nucleotides) under Desulfobacteraceae bacterium. RNAcentral describes it as "6S RNA". It matches the Rfam family "6S / SsrS RNA". Rfam says of the family: E. coli 6S RNA was the first non coding RNA to be sequenced, but its function was unknown until recently. It consists of 184 nucleotides that fold into an extended hairpin structure with a large single-stranded internal bulge. Lineage: Bacteria; Pseudomonadati; Thermodesulfobacteriota; Desulfobacteria; Desulfobacterales; Desulfobacteraceae. The record is from RNAcentral.
UUACCCCUGGAGUGUUCGUGAUUGCAUGAUUGUCUUUGUCCUAACGUAAAGAACGAAGGGUAUUCACAUAAUGCCUGUGUGCAAGUUCCCAUAUAAGGAAAAGCCUUAAGGUAAUAUUGGGCACCAACUUUUGAACUAUUAAGGUUCAAAGUAUAAUCAACAACACGGCACUUUGGGGGGAAA